This 301-nucleotide ribosomal RNA is filed under the name uncultured bacterium. RNAcentral's name for it is "partial 16S ribosomal RNA". It matches the Rfam family "Bacterial small subunit ribosomal RNA", at positions 509 to 807 of the family's 1533-position model. The record is from RNAcentral.
CAGUAGCCGCGGUAAUACAGAGGGUGCGAGCGUUAAUCGGAUUUACUGGGCGUAAAGCGUGCGUAGGCGGCUUCUUAAGUCGGAUGUGAAAUCCCUGAGCUUAACUUAGGAAUUGCAUUCGAUACUGGGAAGCUAGAGUAUGGGAGAGGAUGGUAGAAUUCCAGGUGUAACGGUGAAAUGCGUAGAGAUCUGGAGGAAUACCGAUGGCGAAGGCAGCCAUCUGGCCUAAUACUGACGCUGAGGUACGAAAGCAUGGGGAGCAAACAGGAUUAGAUACCCGUGUAGUCCCUGUCUCUUAUAC